GAUGAACGCUGGCGGCGGGCCUAAUACAUGCAAGUCGAGCGAACGGACGGGAAGCUUUCGUCCCUGAUGUUAGCGGCUGACGGGUGAGUAACACGUGGAUAACCUACCUAUAAUACUGGGAUAACUUCGGGAAACCGGAGCUAAUACCGGAUAAUACUUUCAACCGCAGGGUGCAAAAGAUAAAGACGGUUUUGCUGUCACUUAUAGAUGGAUCCGCGCUGCAUUAUCUAGUUGGUAAGGUAACGGCCUACCAAGGCAACGAUGCAUAGCCGACCUGAGAGGGUGAUCGGCCACACUGGAACUGAGACACGGUCCAGACUCCUACGGGAGGCAGCAGUGGGGAAUCUUCCACAAUGGGCGCAAGCCUGACGCAGCAACGCCGCGUGAGUGAUGAAGGUCUUCGGAUCGUAAAACUCUGUUAUUAGGGAAGAACAUAUGUGUAAGUAACUGUCCACAUCUUGACGGUACCUAAUCAGAAAGCCCCGGCUAACUACGUG
This 497-nucleotide ribosomal RNA is filed under the name uncultured bacterium. RNAcentral's name for it is "partial 16S ribosomal RNA". It matches the Rfam family "Bacterial small subunit ribosomal RNA", at positions 28 to 507 of the family's 1533-position model. The record is from RNAcentral.